CUUUGUUGGAGGCAAGAAAGACCUGGAAUACUUCUAAUUGCCAAGCCAUUUCUAAAGGAACCACCCUACAACAUCAGCACUUUGGGAGACAGAGAUCUGAAACUUGAAGAUGGUGAAUUAAGAGCAAUCCAUAAAGUCCAAAAGAGGAAUGGAUGAAAGGCAACAGGAACAUGAUUGUGAUCAUCCUUCUUUAGCAGCUGUGGUCACUGGAAAAGUUUUCUGGUAAAAGCCCCACAUCCAGAGGCUUCUGUAGGAACAUUGACAAGUGGCCUUGAACAGUGGCAUGCCAAGAAGGAGAAACUGGGACUUCGCUGAAAACCAAGACCUGGAACCUCAAACACCCAUUGGGGCCAGAUGCUGUGACGACAAAGAUAGCAUGACAAUCUCAGAUGAGGACGAUG
RNAcentral lists this long non-coding RNA (401 nucleotides) under Heterocephalus glaber (naked mole-rat). RNAcentral's name for it is "lncRNA (ENSHGLG00000039536.1)". The record is from RNAcentral. Lineage: Eukaryota; Metazoa; Chordata; Mammalia; Rodentia; Bathyergidae.